ACCUCUCUUAGAUCUCAUUUAAGGGCUGACUGCCACAAGAAAAGGAUCUUUUUCUGGAGGUCUCUCCUUAGAGAAGCUUUCCCUUCAAACCUAGAAUCUCCUGAUACAGGUGAGGUUCAAGUCACAGGACAAGAGAAGUGUACUCCAAAAAUAAAAGCAGACUUUAUCUCAUGCUGUCCAGCAAAUUCCUAUAUGAAAGCAGGAGGAUUUCAGCUUCUCAUAUCUUGACUGAUUGAUUGAUUCAUCAUUAACAACCCGAACCUUUGAAUGAAACCAGUGGGAGUCUUGCCAUUUUACCAGCAAGAACAGACUGCUGCUUAAGUUUCCCACAUGAAAGUACAGUUCACUAAUGUGUAAAAGGGUAAAAUAAAAUCCAAGAGACUGAGAUGGCUGCUCUUAAUGUCAAUUUAGUAUAGAAAACUUGUGCUGAAGCAACUGUUUGAGUAUAAUCAG
This is a long non-coding RNA of Phasianus colchicus (ring-necked pheasant), 453 nucleotides long. RefSeq lists it as uncharacterized. The record is from RefSeq and is a predicted model, not a curated record. Lineage: Eukaryota; Metazoa; Chordata; Aves; Galliformes; Phasianidae.